ACCCGCACAAGCAGCGGAGCGUGUGGUUUAAUUCGUUGCUACACGAAGAACCUUACCUGGGUUUGACAUAUAGGUUGUAGGGAACUGAAAAGGACCGACCCUUCGGGAGCCUAUACAGGUGUUGCAUGGCUGUCGUCAGCUCGUGUCGUGAGAUGUUCGGUUAAGUCCGCUAACGAGCGCAACCCUCGUCGUAUGUUAUAUGUGUCAUACGAGACUGCCGGUAAAAAGCCGGAGGAAGGUGAGGAUGAUGUCAAGUCAGCAUGACCUUUAUAUCCAGGGCUACACACACGCUACAAUGGUCUGUACAAUGGGUAGCCAAGCCGCGAGGCGGAGCCAAUCCUGAAAGCAGGCCUCAGUUCAGAUUGCAGUCUGCAACUCGACUGCAUGAAGCCGGAGUUGCUAGUAACCGCAGGUCAGCAAUACUGCGGUGAAUACGUUCCCGGGUCUU
RNAcentral lists this ribosomal RNA (448 nucleotides) under uncultured Anaerolineaceae bacterium. RNAcentral describes it as "bacterial SSU rRNA". It matches the Rfam family "Bacterial small subunit ribosomal RNA", at positions 919 to 1382 of the family's 1533-position model. Lineage: Bacteria; Bacillati; Chloroflexota; Anaerolineae; Anaerolineales; Anaerolineaceae. The record is from RNAcentral.